Molecule: ribosomal RNA, 217 nt
Filed under: Pseudomonas sp. 3.60.62
Lineage: Bacteria; Pseudomonadati; Pseudomonadota; Gammaproteobacteria; Pseudomonadales; Pseudomonadaceae
Description: partial 16S ribosomal RNA
Rfam family: Bacterial small subunit ribosomal RNA
Source: RNAcentral
AACACAUGCAAGUCGAGCGGUAGAGAGAAGCUUGCUUCUCUUGAGAGCGGCGGACGGGUGAGUAAUGCCUAGGAAUCUGCCUGGUANUGGGGGAUAACGUCCGGAAACGGACGCUAAUACCGCAUACGUCCUACGGGAGAAAGCAGGGGACCUUCGGGCCUUGCGCUAUCAUAUGAGCCUAGGUCGGAUNAGCUAGUUNGUGAGGUAAUGGCUCACC